Molecule: ribosomal RNA, 442 nt
Filed under: uncultured bacterium
Lineage: Bacteria
Description: bacterial SSU rRNA
Rfam family: Bacterial small subunit ribosomal RNA
Source: RNAcentral
UUACGGGAGGCAGCAGUGGGGAAUUUUCCGCAAUGGGCGAAAGCCUGACGGAGCAAUACCGCGUGAGGGAGGAAGGCUCUUGGGUUGUAAACCUCUUUUCUCAAGGAAUAAGUUCUGAAGGUACUUGAGGAAUAAGCAUCGGCUAACUCCGUGCCAGCAGCCGCGGUAAUACGGAGGAUGCAAGCGUUAUCCGGAAUGAUUGGGCGUAAAGGGUCCGCAGGUGGCAUUGUAAGUCUGCUGUCAAAGAAUGAGGCUUAACCUCAUCAAGGCAGUGGAAACUACAAAGCUAGAGUACGGUCGGGGUAGAAGGAAUUCCUGGUGUAGCGGUGAAAUGCGUAGAGAUCAGGAAGAACACCGGUGGCGAAAGCGUUCUGCUAGACCUGUACUGACACUGAGGGACGAAAGCUAGGGGAGCGAAUGGGAUUAGAUACCCCAGUAGUCC